Molecule: long non-coding RNA, 2976 nt
Organism: Silurus meridionalis
Lineage: Eukaryota; Metazoa; Chordata; Actinopteri; Siluriformes; Siluridae
Exons: 4
Source: RefSeq, a predicted model, not a curated record
UAAAUGUUAAGGUUUUGUUUUAUUUGAGGCAGCACAAACAAUAGCUAAUCAAAAAAGAAAGAUGAUGUGUGAGUAUUUUGUUUAUUAUGUGGUAUAUACUGUCAAAACAUAUAUACAUACAUAAUGUUAAAUUAUAUACAAAUAUUUACAUCUUUGAACAGUUUUCAGGAACACCUUUACUCCUGCUCAACCAUGUAAAUAUCUAUUCACCUAAUGUGAUGGUGGCACAACACAGCUUCAAUUAAUGUUCAUAUUAAACCCCAGAAAAUGCACUCUCAGAGACAUUGCAAUCUCAGUGGCAUGGUGACAGUUUCACACACAGAUGCUUGUGUGUGAAAGUAGUUUACACAGAAUGGGGCAGAAAGUAAUCCAGUGAGCAGCAGCUCUGCAUGUGGAAAUGUUUGCUAAAGACAGAGGUGUGAUGCCUGACUGGGUGACUUAAGGAAUCAGUAGGCGCACAGGUAUUUCUAUUUCUAAGUGGCUGGGGAGUAUAUAUAAAAAUUUACACAGGCCAUAUGGAACUCAUUUAACAGAUGAGCAUGUGCUCUCUGCAAAGUGUCAUUUGCCAUUCUGCAGAGAAGUUUAUUGGGAGCUUUGCCUUGUCAAGUGCAUGGCACUGAAGCUUCUCUUUGGUCACUCUUCCCAGGUCAGUUGCAUAAUGCAGUGAUGGUUGAAGUUUCUCUCAUCUCCACACAUGAUCUCUAGAGCUCAACCAGAGUGACCAAUAGGACCUCUCUUAUCAAGAGAUCCCAUAAUUCAGUUUGUCUGGAUGAUGAAAGAUUCCUGGUUGUUCCAAACUUCAUAAUUUAUUUUAGAAUUACGGAGGCCACUGUCAUCUUGGGAAUGUUUUGUGGUUAUUUUUGCAGCUUCCCCCAAAUCUGUGCCUUAACAUAACCUGGUCUCUAGACUCUACAGGCAGUUCCUUCGAUGUCAUUGCUUGGUUUUUGCUCUGAGAUGCAUUUUCAGGUUUUAGACAGGCAUGUGCCUUUCCAAAUCAUGUCCAGUCAGUUGAAUUUGCCCAAAGUGAAGUCUAAAGAAAUUUAGAAAUGAUCUGGAGAAUCUGUUUUUGAUUUGUCAUCAUGGUGUAUGGUAAGUAGAUUGAUGGGGAAGAAAAAUGUAUGUUAAGUAUUUAGCAACACAGGCUAAAACAUAAGAAAUAUUCACUGAAAUCUUGAAUUAGAAGGUCUCACAAGAAAAUGUGUACUUGCACGCAAUUUGUACCCUACUAAAGUGCACAGGGCCACAAAUUCCCUUGUUCUCUCAGUCUAGCAAACACCUACAUGAUAAAUCUACCUUGACAAAAGUGCAAAAGAGAUUUAUAUUUGUGCCCAUGGACACCAAAGACAUGGUGUCUGCCAGUGUGUUGUGUUAAUAUUUGAAUAAAUCUCCCACCCAUCAGCUAGCUUUCUUCCCUGCUAAGAUUUAUACCAAAAGCCUCAAAGAGACCUUGGCUAAGGCAUAUAAAAGCCAUUUCGUGUGGCUGUCAGCCUAUGCAUGCAUCUGUUUACAAGCGGCACAGUUUGCCCUGUGCGUGUAGAAUGCGAGAACGCCACAGACCAUUGGCGUGCUGCGCAUUUUAUCAUUUACCCAAAAGUGGCAUCGACAGCUUAACUGUCUGUCGGGACUGUUUUUAAAACAGAGCUUUGUGUGGAAAAGCAAUAUAGGAUGUGGUUAGAGGGAGUCGUCUUGGGAAUUUCUUCCUCGCCUGCUUGCCCUUGAUGACAAUCUGGAGAUUUGAACGGCUCACGCUAAAGCGAAACGUCCCUCUCGUUGUAAAUGUGUUUACAUGCAACGGAUCAAAGCUGCCCUAACUUUCCCAUGAGCCACAGUGCCAUAGAGCUCAUGCUACUGACUUUGUGUUACUGUGUAGACAAAUGCAUUUAGAUUGCAGUGACCCAAAUCUUAUCUGAGCCUCGGCUUAUUAACGAACAUCGCUGGCUAUGAGUCAUGGAUAAACAUUUGGCAUGGAGUGACGUACUAGGCAUGAUAAAAAUUAACUUCCCUCCCCUCAUCUUCAGUGAGAGGAAACCUGCAUGGCUUUGACCUGUACAAGAUGCACUCAUGCAGGGAAUCUUCUUAAUUCUCAUUUAUUUUUGCUCUAGAAUUUUUGGGCUAUGAAUAGUGCUCAGUUGCUACCAUUAAAUGCCAUUUAUUGCCUUGCUUCAUGAGCUAUCCAAGUUCCUGCAAUCUGUUUAUGACUUGAUUGUCCCUUCUGUACAAAGUAAGUUAGCACUAAAUCCAAAAAAGAUUUUCACUAGAGUGAUUAAACGGUAUGGAAUGCUACUGUAAAUCCUUCUUGGCAGCUCAGCCAAGUCAGAGUUUUUCCUCUCACCCCACUAAUUAACAAGGUAUUUUCACCGGACCCUCAUUGAUAUGAACAUUAACUAAAGCUCACGACAUUCACAACAUCUGCAUUAUCUUUUCAUGUAUUGCACUGCUGCACAAUGAUUGCUUGUUUGAAUAAACACAAAAAUGAGCUGGUGCUCCAAUUAAAAUGAAUGGUAAGGUUAUUUGUUGCUUGAUGUUUGCUUCUUUUGUUUUGCCCUGGGGCUGUUCAGUUAAAAACAUCACAUACCCUACAUGAACAGGCAUGUUUUAUGAUUAUGUUUGUAGCUUUUAGUGCCACUCUUUUCACUGUAUUGUGUACCUACAAUUAAUGUUAGUCUUGUAUAUAAAAAUAUACAUAUAUAUAUAAUCAUUGUAUAAUGAAAUAUAGUUAUAGUAAUAGUCAUAGUGUUCCCUCUCAUGUAUGUAUCUGCAUCUAUGUCCUGUCGACAUCUGUCUGGCAUUACUGAUGAACUGGGUGUGUUUUUCUAUUAUUUGUUAGCUAACUGAACAAACUAUUGAUGUCCAUAAAUGGACAUUCGGUGCAACCCAGACGAGGAUGGGUUCCCUCUUGAGUCUGUUUCCUCUCAAGGUUUCUUCCUUAUGCCAUCUCGGGGAGUUUUUCCUUGCCAUAGUCGCCACCGGCUCACU